CAAAACCCCGCAGAAGAGACCUGCCCCCCGCGGCAGGCGCCGACGGAGCAACCGCCCCGGAAACUCUCAGGCAAACAGGACUGCGCGGUCUAG
Molecule: non-coding RNA, 93 nt
Filed under: Achromobacter xylosoxidans
Lineage: Bacteria; Pseudomonadati; Pseudomonadota; Betaproteobacteria; Burkholderiales; Alcaligenaceae
Description: Glycine sequence
Rfam family: Glycine riboswitch aptamer
About the family: This family represents the bacterial glycine riboswitch. Glycine riboswitches usually consist of two metabolite-binding aptamers domains with similar structures in tandem.
Source: RNAcentral